Molecule: RNA transcript, 6550 nt
Organism: Xiphias gladius (swordfish)
Lineage: Eukaryota; Metazoa; Chordata; Actinopteri; Istiophoriformes; Xiphiidae
Gene: fgd1
Gene name: FYVE, RhoGEF and PH domain containing 1
Exons: 16
Source: RefSeq, a predicted model, not a curated record
UGAAGAGCUGGCGGUGGUGUGUCGUAACGACCUCCAUCAGAAGCGUCUGUCCAGGGAGUCGGGUUACAGCGCCUCAGAGAAACACCUGGAGGAUGACGUGGUUGCCGUGGAGAUGAGGGAGCAGCAACAACAGCAGCAGCCGCCGUUGCUCGACCAGUCAGAGCUCCCCUCGGAGCGUCUGUCCCUCCCCUCCUCGCAGACGGAUGGGAAGCUGGCCAAUCGGGACAGCGGGAUCGACAGCAUCAGCUCUCCGUCGCACAGUGAGGAGCUCUGCUUCGCCAGCGUGGACGAUGGGGGCGUGGCUUAUCCCUGCAGUCCCGCCCUCCUGCCCCGCCUCUCCAGCUCAUCCUCAUAUGCGGGGGAGGGAGGGGAGGGGGAUGGAGAGGAGGGGGAGGUGAGGGGAGCUGCGAGGAGGAGGAGGGAGUUCUCUGAGGAGGGAGACAGUGACCUGGAGGAGGAGGAGGAGGCGGAGCUAACACUGGUGCUGUCCCCCCCCAAGACAGACAGACAGGACUCUGCUGAGCUGUCUGUCCAGCAGAGGGUCUUCAACAUCGCCAAUGAGCUGCUACACACAGAGAUCGCCUACGUCUCUAAGCUGCACCUCCUGGACCAGGUUUUCUGUGCCAGACUCCUGGAGGAGGCCCGGUCUCGCUCCUCCUUCCCCUGUGACGUCGUUCAGGGAAUCUUCUCCAACAUCUGCUCCAUCUACUGUUUCCAUCAGCAGUUCUUGCUGCCGGCGCUGCAGAAACGCAUGGAGGAAUGGGAUUCGAACCCACGGAUCGGGGACAUCCUGCAGAAGCUGGCUCCCUUCCUGAAAAUGUACGGAGAGUAUGUGAAGAACUUUGACCGAGCCAUGGAGCUGGUGAACACCUGGAUGGAGAGGUCGGCUCAGUUCAAGACCAUCAUCCAGGAGAUCCAGAAGGAGGAGCGUUGUGGGAACCUGACGCUGCAGCAUCACAUGUUGGAGCCGGUUCAGAGGAUUCCUCGCUACGAGCUGCUGCUCAAAGAUUAUCUACACCGACUGCCGGAGGACGCCCCGGACUACAGGGACGCCCAGAAGUCUUUGGAGCUGAUUGCCACAGCAGCAGAACAUUCGAAUGCCGCCAUCAGGAAGAUGGAGAGAAUGAGGAAGUUGUUGAAGGUGUACGAGUUGUUGGGAGGAGAAGAAGACAUCGUUAACCCGACUAACGAGCUCAUUAAAGAAGGACACAUCCUCAAACUGUCCAACAAGAAUGGGACCACGCAGGACAGAUACCUCAUACUGUUUAAUGACAGGUUGCUGUACUGCGUCCCAAAGCUGCGUCUGAUCGGUCAGAAGUACGGUGUCCGCACUCGCAUUGAUGUGGACGGCAUGGAGUUGAAGGAGACCAGCAGUGGUGCAGUUCCCAGGACGUUCCUUGUGUCUGGAAAACAGAGAUCCCUGGAGCUGCAGGCCAGGACGGAGGAGGAGAAAAAAGACUGGAUCCAGGCCAUCCAAGCGACCAUCCAGAGACAUGAGCAGACGCUGGAGAGCUUCAGACAUUUGAAUUGUUCCCUACGAGAUGAUGAAUCCACACCACCUCACUCCCCGAGCUGCGUGGAGCUGGGGAAGCGAGCUCCGACUCCAAUCAGAGAGAAGGAAGUCACUCUGUGUAUGAAGUGUCAGGAGCCGUUCAACUCCAUCACCAAGAGACGACACCACUGUAAAGCCUGUGGACACGUGGUUUGUGGGAAAUGUUCGGAGUUUCGUGCUCGUCUGUCGUACGACAACAACCGGACCAAUCGUGUUUGUAUCGACUGCUACGCCACGCUGGUGGGAGUCUUGCCCUCGCCCGCCACGCUGACCAGCAGCACCCAGAGGAGGCGCUCCAUCCUGGAGAAACAGGCCUCGCUGGCGGCAGAGAACAGUGUGAUUUGUAGUUUUCUUCACCACAUGGAGAAAGGAGGGGGGCGGGGCUGGCAGAAGGCCUGGUUCGUCAUACCUGAAAACGAGCCGCUGGUGCUCUACAUCUAUGGAGCUCCGCAGGACGUGAAGGCGCAGCGCAGCGUUCCUCUGAUUGGCUUCGAAGUCUCUCUACCUGAGUCAUGUGACCGUCUUGAGAGACGCCACGCCUUCAAGAUCUCCCAGAGUCACCUGACCCUGUACUUCAGCGCUGAGGGGGAGGAGCUACAGCGGCGAUGGAUGGACGUCCUGUCGAGGGCCGGGAGGGGGGAGGAGCCUCAGGUCCACCGGCCAAUCGUAGAGAGUCUGGAGGAGGAGGGGGAGGAUCUCGCAGCUGCAGCGGAGGGCGGGAACACGUGAUUCUAUUGUAUGAGCAACGAUGGUUUUGGUGAAGGCGGGGUCUUUAGAUGAAUAUCAAUCCCUAUUGGAAACCAGUACAAAACCAGUUCAUACAGUCGUAGCUAAAAUAUACGUUUAACACAAACACACACACACACACACACACUGAGCUCUCUGUAUAUUUAAAGUUGCGUGGUUCAUCUGCAUGAUUCCUCCCUGCUGUCGUCACACAAAAUAGCGUCUCUCUCUCUCUCUCUCGUUUUACCUUUGUUUCACCUGCGCGGUGAGGUGGGCGGAGCCUCUGGUUCUAUAAAUGUCGUCAACGUAAAUUCUCACAGUAAACUUUCCUUUCAACGAUAACCUCAGCACACAAACCAUAGCAGUCUCCUGGUCACGGACCAGUUGGUUUUUCUCCCUGAGUUUCAUCUGUGGAAUGUCUCUGAACACUACAGUACCCAUGAGCCCCAGCUAUGGAAAUGCCUCCGCCUACAGCUGUUACAUCCGAGUUGUAUCAUAUUCAGAAAACUGACCCUAAACUUUUUUAGAUCUGAGAAUUUGUCCAAUGAGUUCAGCCGCUGACUUCUCCCUAAGCUGCACGGCAGCAAGAGUCUGAAGCUCAUUUAAUCAACUUGUGUAUUCACGGUCAUGGGCUCAGUCACCACACGUCUCCUGAUGGAGCACUGCAAGUUCUUCAGCUUCUUCCUGUGUCCUUAUGUAGUAUUAAUUCAUCAGUUUUUCAAAAGGUGGGAUGUAUUUCAGUGGUUAUCUCACUUUGCAACAACCUUAGUUAUUGUGAGUUAUUUAAUGUGCAUUUAUUCUGGAGCCAAAAAGGUCAAACAGUCAGUUCACAAGAUAAUGGACAAUGAGGCUCCCUUUUAUCACUGUGUGUUCGAAACCUGCAGGAGACCGUUGAACAUAACCAAGAAAGUUGAAUAUAAAAUGGCCGCGGGUUUAGCUCACAGUUAAAACUCUGCAUUCACGUUUUGUCCGGCUGACACCAUCUCUAUUCUCCGUUUACGUUUUCUUCAAAGACCAGUGAAAGAAACCCACAAACACACAAACCCAAGAUCUGCAGCAAAAGAAUGGGACCCUAGCUGAACUCAGUUCAGUGCAGACCGAAUAUAAUCCAGCCUAGUCUCCUCAUGAAUCACAUUGAUAUCGGUCAAUUCGGCACCUCACAAUUUACGUUCUGUGGCACUAUACAUAUACGGAGGAAGUAGUGUGUCCAAUACCUGGAUGUAUUAAUAGAUGUGAUGUGCAGCCUCCACGCAGCCUUGUUGCUAAUGUGGCCACUCACAGUACUGUAACUAAAAAUCACUUCAGUUCGUCCCGGUGGCUGACCAGGGUACUGCGACAAAAGGAACACCUCCAGCCCGGAAGGCAUUUUCCACAUUGACCUCCAUUAUACAUGAGACGAGUGUAAAGCUGUGGAAAGGCUCGGUUAUUACUCUGCGUGCACUUGGAGAGAAAUUUUCUUUUAAAUGAAAAGGUCCAGUUAUUUGAAGCAGUAUAUAUUCAGAAAGUAUUCAAAAACAAUAGGGACAUGGACGUGGGUCUGUUUGUACUGUGAACACAUGUUCACAGGAUUGUUGGUGUGUCCUGCUCUGACAUAAACUUUGGGCUGGACGUGGAAACUCUUGGACUUGUGCAGAUGAAGAUAUUUACAUCACACAGACUCUUACAGCCAUGCGGAUGCAAAAAGUAUCAUUUGAGCUGUGGUGGACGAGGUGGUGGGUGAAUGUUUACCCCAUCUGACUGAGCUGCUGUCAUUGUAACCGUAACCACAAUGUUUGCCUCCCAUUAACCAGACUAUAGUUACCUUGCACAGAUUUUGUAAAAAGUGAGAAUUUUAAAAAAGGUAAUGUUGGACAUAAUGUGGGGUUUUGCAGAAUCGUCUAAUAUCAUCAUUUUCUAGUUAUGGGGCUGAUGUAAUCUGGACCCAGCCUGACGCGGGUCCAGGGUUCUCGGUUAUUCAGCAGCAACUCAGCCCAUGCAGAACUCUAUUAUGUUGUUUCGUUCAUCUCGCAAUGAAAACAUAAAUGAAAUGGAUUAACAAGCACGUACAAACACAUGCCGGAGUCAAACUGGACAAUGCCCCCCCCCCAACACACACACACACACACCCACCCCCCCCACACACACAUUGGUUCAAAUCCCAACAAAGAGCUGAGGAGUCGACCUUCAACCUGUAAUGAGUGCAGCUGCUGCCGUCGCCUUGGACAAUUAUGUAAGAAAUUAGAAGAGAAGAGUUUAGCAGUGCUGGCACGUCAGCAGGACAUAAACUGUCCGAUUUUUAAAACACGAAAGAAGAAAAAGACUGAUCUGUUCUCUUUAAAUGCACUUCAAAGACAUUUCAUUUUUUUAUUUCAAAUUUCGCCUAAAGAAAAAAAGUCUACAGAUUUCUAUUUUCCUUUUGUUUUCUUCCGUUUGAAUUUUUAAAGUUUUCUUUCCACCCUCAGUGACCUCGCUGCUGCUGUCUGACCUCCAAACCUGCCGAUCAAAUCACCUGUCAGGAGCUAAACUACGUUUCCCAGCAAACUCUGCUGUGAGGAGUGGAAUCCUGAAGCCUCUCUGCUCUCUACAGGUGAAGCAGGGUACUGCAGCUUCUUAUAAAAUACCUGAGGCGGUUGGUUCAUCAAUGUCCUGAAGAAACCUCACUCAACAUUUUGGGGAUUAAAGACCUUUUCCAACUGUUAAAAAAAUCAUAUAAUUUUUCUACUUAAUUAAUACUUACUUUAUGAAUUGAAGAAGUACUCCUGUUUGUUGUAACGCGCCCAAUACCAAAAUUUCAAGUCAAGAUUUUGACUUUCUUUUGACUCUUCAAGUAAUUAUAGAUAUGGCUCAAAGUUGUGAAAUCCUAACUUAAAAUUUUGACCCUCAAAGUAAACAUUUCAACUCAUCAUAUUAUUUGAUUUACUAUCUCACAAGUUUAUAAUGGUGAUUUAAGUCAAAAUUAUAACUCAAGUUUCUUACUUAAUACUUGAGUAUUAAGUUUUUUUUCUGACAUUUUUUCUGGCCAUUUUCUGACCUUUAUUGAACAGACGACUAACUGGUUAAUGAAGAAAAUAAUACCUGGAAAUGAAAAUGAAAAUAGUCGUUAGUUGCAGCGCUAAUAACCUGUGAGAUAUGAGACUUCUGCAGGACACUGAGGAUCUCAGUGGUGGUGCAGGUUUUUUGGAGCUGGAUGUAAAAAGUUUGUGGAGGUUUUUAAAGACAGUUUCAGGCAGUUGGAGACACCAAGAGUCUCUGAGAAGAACCAGAAACCAGACUGGACUAUAAACCUUCAUGUUUCUGCUGAGUUCAGACUGAACUCUUAACCUCCCCAGGUCUGAUGGACUGGUUUUUGUUUCCUGGAUGUUCUGAACAGCCGAUCUGAACAGAAUCCAAAAGAAAAGACUUUGGUUGUUUUUAUCAUCUUCUCUUCCAGUGACGGCCGGUGUUACAGACUGUUAAUGGCUGCUGUUACCCAUGGUUGGAUUACUGACCGGACAUGUCAGGGGGCCCCCGGACCAGAGCCGUUGUUUGAGGUUAACAUGUCUUGUUUGAAAGUCACAGUUAAAAGACACAAAACAACCACCAAGAGAUGAAAAACAUUGCGAUAAAGAGAGACCACAAAGAAACACAAAAUGACUAAUAACCGCCUCCAAUUUAAGGAGUCCUGGGGUUGGGGGCAUUUUACCUGUCUGUGCCCCAGGCGCCCCUUUUCUCCUAAUCUGUUUAUGCUGUUACCAUGGAGACCAUCAGGAUUUUCUCCUCUGCUUAUGUUUGAACAGAUGACAAACAUGCAUGAAACAAACCAAACAAUGUUAAUAAAUGACAAUAUUUUGGCAUGUGGACUAUAAACAUCAUCAAAUAUGGAUAUACAUAUUUCUAACACAGCUUUUAAAGAACCAAUCAGACGAGGACUAGGCGGUAAUGUCACGUAGUUGAAUGACAUCAUUUUUUUGAGACCAGAGCUCUUAUCUCCUGACUUCCUGCUAUAGUAACCACUGGGUUUCUGGAGAAGCAUGUUACCAUGGUGACCUCCAGGUUCCCUGAGCCUCAUAUUGCUCGUUACCAUGUUGCCGUAGCAACCACUAUACUAGUUACCAUGGCAACAGCAUUCACCGCUCUCCCACUCUCUCUCCAGCUGUAACAGCAGCAUGGUUGUGCAUUCUUCUUCUUGUAGUUCUGGUAUCUUGUUAUUAUUGAUUAUUGAUCGAUUGCAGGUUAUUGGUUAGUGGCCGGCCACUGCCUUCCAUUCUGUCCAUGUCUGUUCCCCAUCAGCCCUUCUGUGAGAAAAUAAAAUGA